AGAGUUUGAUCCUGGCUCAGGAUGAACGCUGGCGGCGUGCUUAACACAUGCAAGUCGAGCGAAGCACUUAUGACGAUCCUUCGGGUGAAUCAUUUGUGACUGAGCGGCGGACGGGUGAGUAACGCGUGAGUAACCUGCCUCAUACAGGGGAAUAACAGUUAGAAAUGACUGCUAAUGCCGCAUAAGCGCACAGGGCCGCAUGGCCCGGUGUGAAAAACUCCGGUGGUAUGAGAUGGACUCGCGUCUGAUUAGCUAGUUGGCAGGGUAACGGCCUACCAAGGCGACGAUCAGUAGCCGGCCUGAGAGGGUGAACGGCCACAUUGGGACUGAGACACGGCCCAAACUCCUACGGGAGGCAGCAGUGGGGAAUAUUGCACAAUGGGGGAAACCCUGAUGCAGCGACGCCGCGUGAGUGAAGAAGUAUUUCGGUAUGUAAAGCUCUAUCAGCAGGGAAGAAAAUGACGGUACCUGACUAAGAAGCCCCGGCUAACUACGUGCUAGCAGCCGCGGUAAUACGUAGGGGGCAAGCGUUAUCCGGAUUUACUGGGUGUAAAGGGAGCGUAGACGGCUUUGCAAGUCUGACGUGAAACUCCGGGGCUCAACUCCGGAACUGCGUUGGAAACUGUAAGGCUUGAGUGCCGGAGAGGUAAGCGGAACUCCUAGUGUAGCGGUGAAAUGCGUAGAUAUUAGGAGGAACACCAGUGGCGAAGGCGGCUUACUGGACGGCAACUGACGUUGAGGCUCGAAAGCGUGGGGAGCAAACAGGAUUAGAUACCCUGGUAGUCCACGCGGUAAACGAUGAAUACUAGGUGUUGGGGGACAAAGUCCUUCGGUGCCGCCGCAAACGCAUUAAGUAUUCCACCUGGGGAGUACGUUCGCAAGAAUGAAACUCAAAGGAAUUGACGGGGACCCGCACAAGCGGUGGAGCAUGUGGUUUAAUUCGAAGCAACGCGAAGAACCUUACCAAGUCUUGACAUCGAUUCGACGGGAGUGUAAUGACUCCUUUCCCUUCGGGGACGAAGAAGACAGGAGGUGCAUGGUUGUCGUCAGCUCGUGUCGUGAGAUGUUGGGUUAAGUCCCGCAACGAGCGCAACCCUUAUCUUUAGUAGCCAGCGGUUAGGCCGGGCACUCUAGAGAGACUGCCAGGGAUAGCCUGGAGGAAGGCGGGGAUGACGUCAAAUCAUCAUGCCCCUUAUGACUUGGGCUACACACGUGCUACAAUGGCGUAAACAAAGGGAAGCAAAGCUGUGAAGCCGAGCAAAUCUCAAAAAUAACGUCUCAGUUCGGACUGUAGUCUGCAACCCGACUACACGAAGCUGGAAUCGCUAGUAAUCGCAGAUCAGAAUGCUGCGGUGAAUACGUUCCCGGGUCUUGUACACACCGCCCGUCACACCAUGGGAGUUGGGAAUGCCCGAAGCCAGUGACCUAACCGAAAGGAAGGAGCUGUCGAAGGCAGGCUCGAUAACUGGGGUGAAGUCGUAACAAGGUA
RNAcentral lists this ribosomal RNA (1489 nucleotides) under metagenome. RNAcentral describes it as "bacterial SSU rRNA". It matches the Rfam family "Bacterial small subunit ribosomal RNA". The record is from RNAcentral.